Molecule: ribosomal RNA, 253 nt
Filed under: uncultured bacterium
Lineage: Bacteria
Description: partial 16S ribosomal RNA
Rfam family: Bacterial small subunit ribosomal RNA
Source: RNAcentral
UACGAAGGGUGCAAGCGUUACUCGGAAUCACUGGGCGUAAAGCGUGCGUAGGCGGUUUCUUAAGUCUGUCGUGAAAGCCCUGGGCUCAACCUGGGAAUGGCGAUGGAUACUGGGAGGCUAGAGUGUGAUAGAGGAUGGUGGAAUUCCCGGUGUAGCGGUGAAAUGCGUAGAGAUCGGGAGGAACACCGGUGGCGAAGGCGGCCAUCUGGAUCAACACUGACGCUGAGGCACGAAAGCGUGGGGAGCAAACAGG